AGAAAGAUAAGCUAAAAAAGCUUAUGGGCUCAUACCCCAUCCAUGAAAAAAAUUCUCUUUCUA
This 63-nucleotide transfer RNA is filed under the name Pochazia shantungensis. RNAcentral describes it as "tRNA-Met". Lineage: Eukaryota; Metazoa; Arthropoda; Insecta; Hemiptera; Ricaniidae. The record is from RNAcentral.